GGUUCCUAAGUACGNGACCGACUAACGGAGAGGCGCACGCCGCGACGAAGUCAGCGACUGGGGUG
This 65-nucleotide ribosomal RNA is filed under the name uncultured bacterium. Its description in RNAcentral is "partial 16S ribosomal RNA". The record is from RNAcentral.